This is a non-coding RNA of Ctenocephalides felis (cat flea), 73 nucleotides long. Lineage: Eukaryota; Metazoa; Arthropoda; Insecta; Siphonaptera; Pulicidae. The record is from the annotation of a RefSeq genome assembly.
GGCUCGUUGGUCUAGGGGUAUGAUUCCCGCUUUGGGUGGCGGAAGGUCCCGGGUUCAAAUCCCGGACGAGCCU